This 1782-nucleotide ribosomal RNA is filed under the name Escherichia coli. RNAcentral's name for it is "partial 23S ribosomal RNA". It matches the Rfam family "Bacterial large subunit ribosomal RNA", at positions 1163 to 2925 of the family's 2925-position model. The record is from RNAcentral. Lineage: Bacteria; Pseudomonadati; Pseudomonadota; Gammaproteobacteria; Enterobacterales; Enterobacteriaceae.
GCGGAAGAUGUAACGGGGCUAAACCAUGCACCGAAGCUGCGGCAGCGACACUGUGUGUUGUUGGGUAGGGGAGCGUUCUGUAAGCCUGUGAAGGUGUGCUGUGAGGCAUGCUGGAGGUAUCAGAAGUGCGAAUGCUGACAUAAGUAACGAUAAAGCGGGUGAAAAGCCCGCUCGCCGGAAGACCAAGGGUUCCUGUCCAACGUUAAUCGGGGCAGGGUGAGUCGACCCCUAAGGCGAGGCCGAAAGGCGUAGUCGAUGGGAAACAGGUUAAUAUUCCUGUACUUGGUGUUACUGCGAAGGGGGGACGGAGAAGGCUAUGUUGGCCGGGCGACGGUUGUCCCGGUUUAAGCGUGUAGGCUGGUUUUCCAGGCAAAUCCGGAAAAUCAAGGCUGAGGCGUGAUGACGAGGCACUACGGUGCUGAAGCAACAAAUGCCCUGCUUCCAGGAAAAGCCUCUAAGCAUCAGGUAACAUCAAAUCGUACCCCAAACCGACACAGGUGGUCAGGUAGAGAAUACCAAGGCGCUUGAGAGAACUCGGGUGAAGGAACUAGGCAAAAUGGUGCCGUAACUUCGGGAGAAGGCACGCUGAUAUGUAGGUGAAGUCCCUCGCGGAUGGAGCUGAAAUCAGUCGAAGAUACCAGCUGGCUGCAACUGUUUAUUAAAAACACAGCACUGUGCAAACACGAAAGUGGACGUAUACGGUGUGACGCCUGCCCGGUGCCGGAAGGUUAAUUGAUGGGGUCAGCGCAAGCGAAGCUCUUGAUCGAAGCCCCGGUAAACGGCGGCCGUAACUAUAACGGUCCUAAGGUAGCGAAAUUCCUUGUCGGGUAAGUUCCGACCUGCACGAAUGGCGUAAUGAUGGCCAGGCUGUCUCCACCCGAGACUCAGUGAAAUUGAACUCGCUGUGAAGAUGCAGUGUACCCGCGGCAAGACGGAAAGACCCCGUGAACCUUUACUAUAGCUUGACACUGAACAUUGAGCCUUGAUGUGUAGGAUAGGUGGGAGGCUUUGAAGUGUGGACGCCAGUCUGCAUGGAGCCGACCUUGAAAUACCACCCUUUAAUGUUUGAUGUUCUAACGUGGACCCGUGAUCCGGGUUGCGGACAGUGUCUGGUGGGUAGUUUGACUGGGGCGGUCUCCUCCUAAAGAGUAACGGAGGAGCACGAAGGUUGGCUAAUCCUGGUCGGACAUCAGGAGGUUAGUGCAAUGGCAUAAGCCAGCUUGACUGCGAGCGUGACGGCGCGAGCAGGUGCGAAAGCAGGUCAUAGUGAUCCGGUGGUUCUGAAUGGAAGGGCCAUCGCUCAACGGAUAAAAGGUACUCCGGGGAUAACAGGCUGAUACCGCCCAAGAGUUCAUAUCGACGGCGGUGUUUGGCACCUCGAUGUCGGCUCAUCACAUCCUGGGGCUGAAGUAGGUCCCAAGGGUAUGGCUGUUCGCCAUUUAAAGUGGUACGCGAGCUGGGUUUAGAACGUCGUGAGACAGUUCGGUCCCUAUCUGCCGUGGGCGCUGGAGAACUGAGGGGGGCUGCUCCUAGUACGAGAGGACCGGAGUGGACGCAUCACUGGUGUUCGGGUUGUCAUGCCAAUGGCACUGCCCGGUAGCUAAAUGCGGAAGAGAUAAGUGCUGAAAGCAUCUAAGCACGAAACUUGCCCCGAGAUGAGUUCUCCCUGACCCUUUAAGGGUCCUGAAGGAACGUUGAAGACGACGACGUUGAUAGGCCGGGUGUGUAAGCGCAGCGAUGCGUUGAGCUAACCGGUACUAAUGAACCGUGAGGCUUAACCUU